Molecule: ribosomal RNA, 635 nt
Filed under: Alevonota egregia
Lineage: Eukaryota; Metazoa; Arthropoda; Insecta; Coleoptera; Staphylinidae
Description: partial 16S ribosomal RNA
Rfam family: Bacterial large subunit ribosomal RNA
Source: RNAcentral
GUCUUUUUGAAUUUAAUUUAAAGUCUAACCUGCCCAAUGAAUAAUUUAAUGGCCGCAGUAUUUUGACUGUGCAAAGGUAGCAUAAUCAUUAGUUUCUUAAUUAGAAACUGGAAUGAAAGGUUGGACGAGAAAAUAGCUGUCUCUUUAUAAAUUAGUUAGAAUUUUAUUUUUAAGUUAAAAAGCUUAAAUAUUUUUAAAAGACGAGAAGACCCUAUAGAGUUUUAUUUAUAUUUAAUUAAUUAAUUUAUUAGAAUUAUUUAUAUUUUAAUUUUAUAUAAAUUUAAUUGGGGUGAUUAGAAAAUUUAAAUAACUUUUUUACAUAUUAAACAUUAAUUUAUGAUUAAAUGAUCCAUUAAUUUAUGAUUAUAAGAUUAAAUUACCUUAGGGAUAACAGCGUAAUUUCUUUAUAGAGUUCUAAUCGUUAAAGAAGUUUGCGACCUCGAUGUUGGAUUAAAAUUUAUUUUUGGUGUAGAAGCUAAAAAAUUAGGUCUGUUCGACCUUUAAAAUUUUACAUGAUCUGAGUUUAAACCGGUGUAAGCCAGGUUGGUUUCUAUCUUUAAAAUUAGAAUAUAUUUUAGUACGAAAGGACCAAAUAUAUUAAAAAUUUUGUUGAAAAUUGAAUAUUAUUAAUAUUA